AACGAACGCUGGCGGCGUGGAUAAGACAUGCAAGUCGAACGUAACAUCUUGUGUAGCAAUAUAUAAGAUGUUAAGUGGCGAAAGGGUGCGUAACACGUAGCUAUCUACCUUGAAAUGGGGGAUAACGCCGAGAAAUCGGUGCUAAUACCGCAUGUGACUGUAAAGUUAAAGCUGGGGAUCGUAAGACCUGGCGUUUCAAGAUGAGGCGUGCGGCCUAUCAGGUAGUUGGCGGGGUAAAAGCCCACCAAGCCUAAGACGGGUAGCUGGUCUGAGAGGACGACCAGCCACACUGGAACUGAGACACGGUCCAGACACCUACGGGUGGCAGCAGUCGAGGUAUUUUUCUCAAUGGGGGAAACCCUGAAGGAGCGACGCCGCGUGAGGGAUGAAGGUCUUCGGAUUGUAAACCUCUGUCAUCUGGGAUCAAAGUGCUCCACCUAAUACGUGGAGUAUUGCU
RNAcentral lists this ribosomal RNA (457 nucleotides) under uncultured bacterium. RNAcentral's name for it is "bacterial SSU rRNA". It matches the Rfam family "Bacterial small subunit ribosomal RNA", at positions 29 to 480 of the family's 1533-position model. The record is from RNAcentral.